This is a long non-coding RNA of Cucurbita moschata (crookneck pumpkin), 155 nucleotides long. RefSeq lists it as uncharacterized. NCBI's taxonomy places the organism in Eukaryota, Viridiplantae, Streptophyta, Magnoliopsida, Cucurbitales, Cucurbitaceae. The record is from RefSeq and is a predicted model, not a curated record. The transcript has 3 exons.
UCUCUUGCCCUCGUUUUCUAAAACAUUCUCUUAAAAUCGAGGCAGGAGACUCGAGCAUUCGUCGCUUGGCCGAAGGCGACGCAAGAAUGAAUUGGCUUAGCUCACUUGUCGUUGGAAAUUGAGUGCCGCACAAUUGCAAUGCAAGAAUGAAUUGG